AUUUAUAUAGUUUAUAAAAAACAUAUCAUUUUCAAUGAUAAAAAGAGUUUUACUCUAUAAAUA
Molecule: transfer RNA, 63 nt
Filed under: Brachyrhynchus hsiaoi
Lineage: Eukaryota; Metazoa; Arthropoda; Insecta; Hemiptera; Aradidae
Description: tRNA-Glu
Source: RNAcentral